GUUUCCACGUCUCCUUAUCAUUCGACUGUCCAGACUGUAUUUGUGAACUGGACGGAGAACUGAUAAGGGCUUGUGGCGAC
Molecule: microRNA precursor, 80 nt
Filed under: Stegodyphus mimosarum
Lineage: Eukaryota; Metazoa; Arthropoda; Arachnida; Araneae; Eresidae
Description: microRNA mir-184
Rfam family: mir-184 microRNA precursor family
Source: Rfam by way of RNAcentral